This 1440-nucleotide ribosomal RNA is filed under the name uncultured organism. RNAcentral's name for it is "16S ribosomal RNA". It matches the Rfam family "Bacterial small subunit ribosomal RNA". The record is from RNAcentral.
CAGGCUUAACACAUGCAAGUCGAGGGGCAGCAUGGUCUUAGCUUGCUAAGGCCGAUGGCGACCGGCGCACGGGUGAGUAACACGUAUCCAACCUGCCGUCUACUCUUGGACAGCCUUCUGAAAGGAAGAUUAAUACAAGAUGGCAUCAUGAGUCCGCAUGUUCACAUGAUUAAAGGUAUUCCGGUAGACGAUGGGGAUGCGUUCCAUUAGAUAGUAGGCGGGGUAACGGCCCACCUAGUCUUCGAUGGAUAGGGGUUCUGAGAGGAAGGUCCCCCACAUUGGAACUGAGACACGGUCCAAACUCCUACGGGAGGCAGCAGUGAGGAAUAUUGGUCAAUGGGCGAGAGCCUGAACCAGCCAAGUAGCGUGAAGGAUGACUGCCCUAUGGGUUGUAAACUUCUUUUAUAAAGGAAUAAAGUCGGGUAUGGAUACCCGUUUGCAUGUACUUUAUGAAUAAGGAUCGGCUAACUCCGUGCCAGCAGCCGCGGUAAUACGGAGGAUCCGAGCGUUAUCCGGAUUUAUUGGGUUUAAAGGGAGCGUAGAUGGAUGUUUAAGUCAGUUGUGAAAGUUUGCGGCUCAACCGUAAAAUUGCAGUUGAUACUGGAUAUCUUGAGUGCAGUUGAGGCAGGCGGAAUUCGUGGUGUAGCGGUGAAAUGCUUAGAUAUCACGAAGAACUCCGAUUGCGAAGGCAGCCUGCUAAGCUGCAACUGACAUUGAGGCUCGAAAGUGUGGGUAUCAAACAGGAUUAGAUACCCUGGUAGUCCACACGGUAAACGAUGAAUACUCGCUGCUUGCGAUAUACUGCAAGCGGCCAAGCGAAAGCGUUAAGUAUUCCACCUGGGGAGUACGCCGGCAACGGUGAAACUCAAAGGAAUUGACGGGGGCCCGCACAAGCGGAGGAACAUGUGGUUUAAUUCGAUGAUACGCGAGGAACCUUACCCGGGCUUAAAUUGCAGAUGAAUUACGGUGAAAGCCGUAAGCCGCAAGGCAUCUGUGAAGGUGCUGCAUGGUUGUCGUCAGCUCGUGCCGUGAGGUGUCGGCUUAAGUGCCAUAACGAGCGCAACCCUUGUUGUCAGUUACUAACAGGUUCCGCUGAGGACUCUGACAAGACUGCCAUCGUAAGAUGUGAGGAAGGUGGGGAUGACGUCAAAUCAGCACGGCCCUUACGUCCGGGGCUACACACGUGUUACAAUGGGGGGUACAGAGGGCCGCUACCACGCGAGUGGAUGCCAAUCCCCAAAACCUCUCUCAGUUCGGACUGGAGUCUGCAACCCGACUCCACGAAGCUGGAUUCGCUAGUAAUCGCGCAUCAGCCACGGCGCGGUGAAUACGUUCCCGGGCCUUGUACACACCGCCCGUCAAGCCAUGGGAGCCGGGGGUACCUGAAGUGCGUAACCGCGAGGAGCGCCCUAGGGUAAAACUGGUGACUGGGGCUAAGUC